GAAGGACUUGCAGAGAUUGUGAUGCUUCAAAAUAGUCUUAUGGGAGGAAGAACAGAUGGUCUUGAUCGAUACAGGAACUGGAGACUAGAUGUGGAUAACAUGUCCUAUGAGGAAUUGCUGGAACUUGGUGACAGAAUCGGAUAUGUCAACACAGGAUUGAGAGAAGACGAGAUAGCUCGAUGUGUUAGAAGAACCAAGCCCUUCUUUUUGAGUAAUUUAUCUCUUAUCCGCACAGAAUUGGAAAGGCAGUGCACCAUCUGUCAGGAGGAAUAUGAGGCUGAGGAUGAGAUGGGGAAGCUGGAUUGUGGACAUUUCUAUCACAUUCGUUGCAUAAAGCAGUGGCUGAGUCAAAAAAAUAGUUGCCCAGUUUGUAAAUCUGCAGCUAUGUCUAAUAGCUAGACAUCAAAAAACAACUUCUCCCCUCAUGAACCUUUUGGUCUGUUGUAUAGCUUCU
RNAcentral lists this unclassified non-coding RNA (454 nucleotides) under Hevea brasiliensis (rubber tree). Lineage: Eukaryota; Viridiplantae; Streptophyta; Magnoliopsida; Malpighiales; Euphorbiaceae. The record is from RNAcentral.